This 628-nucleotide ribosomal RNA is filed under the name Achromobacter insuavis. RNAcentral's name for it is "bacterial SSU rRNA". It matches the Rfam family "Bacterial small subunit ribosomal RNA", at positions 817 to 1450 of the family's 1533-position model. Lineage: Bacteria; Pseudomonadati; Pseudomonadota; Betaproteobacteria; Burkholderiales; Alcaligenaceae. The record is from RNAcentral.
UAGUUGUUGGGGCCUUCGGGCCUUGGUAGCGCAGCUAACGCGUGAAGUUGACCGCCUGGGGAGUACGGUCGCAAGAUUAAAACUCAAAGGAAUUGACGGGGACCCGCACAAGCGGUGGAUGAUGUGGAUUAAUUCGAUGCAACGCGAAAAACCUUACCUACCCUUGACAUGUCUGGAAUGCCGAAGAGAUUUGGCAGUGCUCGCAAGAGAACCGGAACACAGGUGCUGCAUGGCUGUCGUCAGCUCGUGUCGUGAGAUGUUGGGUUAAGUCCCGCAACGAGCGCAACCCUUGUCAUUAGUUGCUACGAAAGGGCACUCUAAUGAGACUGCCGGUGACAAACCGGAGGAAGGUGGGGAUGACGUCAAGUCCUCAUGGCCCUUAUGGGUAGGGCUUCACACGUCAUACAAUGGUCGGGACAGAGGGUUGCCAACCCGCGAGGGGGAGCUAAUCCCAGAAACCCGAUCGUAGUCCGGAUCGCAGUCUGCAACUCGACUGCGUGAAGUCGGAAUCGCUAGUAAUCGCGGAUCAGCAUGUCGCGGUGAAUACGUUCCCGGGUCUUGUACACACCGCCCGUCACACCAUGGGAGUGGGUUUUACCAGAAGUAGUUAGCCUAACCGCAAGGGGGG